This is an RNA transcript of Mus musculus (house mouse), 3334 nucleotides long. It is a transcript of the gene named unc-51-like kinase 3, with no coding region annotated. The record is from RefSeq and is marked validated. The transcript is spliced from 14 exons. NCBI's taxonomy places the organism in Eukaryota, Metazoa, Chordata, Mammalia, Rodentia, Muridae.
UAAGGGCCAGAGCACGUGUGAUGAUCAGAGAAGAACUUGCUGGAGUCCGUUCUCCCUCGUCACCCUGUGGGGCCCUGGGAUUUUCAUAUCCACUGCUUCUGGUCUUGAAGGGCAGGGAGUGAGCCAGGCUCUUCCUCCCGCCCCCUACGUAGGUGGUCUCUAGGAUGCCAUUCCCAUGUGAUCGUGUCCGCAGUCCUCGACACAACUCUACACCCACUAAAGCCUCAGUGUCUGAAACCUGCCUGGCAAUCCUUGGCAGAGGGUGUCACCCAGCCCGCUGCCGGCGGGGAGGAGCCUCGGAGGGGAGGUGUCGAGCCGCGCUUCCGGCGGGCAGCGCCGGGGCCCUGCGGAGUCCCGCCUCGCCGCCCCUCGAGCGCCCCCAGCUUCUCUGCUGGCCGGAACCUGCACCCCGAACCAGGAAGCACCUGGCGGCGGGCGCGGGAUGGCUGGGCCCAGCUGGGGUCUCCCUCGGCUGGACGGUUUCAUCCUUACCGAGCGCCUGGGCAGUGGCACGUACGCCACGGUGUACAAGGCCUACGCCAAGAAGGAUACUCGGGAAGUGGUAGCCAUAAAAUGCGUGGCCAAGAAGAGUCUCAACAAGGCGUCAGUGGAAAACCUCCUGACUGAGAUUGAGAUCCUCAAGGGCAUUCGGCACCCCCAUAUCGUGCAGCUGAAAGACUUCCAGUGGGACAAUGACAAUAUCUACCUCAUCAUGGAGUUCUGUGCAGGGGGUGACCUGUCUCGCUUCAUUCAUACCCGCAGGAUCCUGCCUGAGAAGGUGGCCCGUGUUUUCAUGCAGCAGUUGGCUAGUGCCCUGCAGUUCCUGCAUGAACGAAACAUCUCUCACUUGGAUCUGAAACCGCAGAACAUCCUGCUGAGCUCUUUGGAGAAGCCCCACCUGAAACUGGCAGACUUUGGCUUUGCCCAGCACAUGUCCCCGUGGGACGAAAAACACGUGCUCCGUGGCUCCCCGCUCUAUAUGGCUCCUGAGAUGGUGUGUCGGCGGCAGUAUGAUGCGCGUGUGGACCUCUGGUCUGUGGGGGUGAUCCUGUACGCUCCCUCUUCGGCCCCAACUCUCCCUAGACUGCCGGGACCUGUUGCAGCGACUUCUAGAGCGGGACCCCGCCCGUCGAAUCUCCUUCAAGGACUUCUUUGCCCAUCCCUGGGUGGACCUGGAGCACAUGCCCAGUGGGGAGAGCCUGGCACAGGCAAGGGCCCUUGUGGUGGAGGCUGUGAAGAAGGACCAGGAGGGGGAUGCUGCCGCUGCCCUGUCGCUCUACUGCAAGGCUCUGGACUUCUUUGUACCUGCGCUACACUACGAAGUGGAUGCCCAGAGGAAGGAGGCAAUUAAGGCGAAGGUGGGACAGUAUGUGUCCCGGGCAGAGGAGCUCAAAGCCAUUGUCUCCUCCUCCAAUCAGGCCCUGCUAAGACAGGGCACAACUGUCCAAGAGCUGCUUCGAGAGAUGGCCCGUGACAAACCACGCCUCCUGGCUGCCCUGGAAGUGGCCUCAGCUGCCCUGGCCAAGGAGGAGGAAGCUGGCAAAGAGCAGGAUGCCCUGGACCUGUACCAGCACAGCCUCGGGGAGCUGCUAGUGCUGUUGGCAGCAGAGGCCCCAGGCCGAAGGCGGGAGCUCCUUCACACCGAGGUAGGGGUGGGAGUCGAGAAGUGCUCCUUUCCCUCCUCCUACUCAGGUCUGUGGGACAUAAAUAGAUCGCAUAUGGACUUUCCUUGCCUCAGAAUUGUGAGGUCAGUGACCCAGGACUUCUGUGCCUAGAUUAAACCAAAAGUCUGCCGGGCUCCUACAACAGGGAACAGAUAGUGUUAUCAGAGACAAGGCCAUUCUAAUGAGACAGAGGGUUCUGGGGCGCAGCAGGGGUGAGGAGGCACUUGAACCCUCCUCACGUCUGCCCAUGUCGUCUCUUGGCAGGUUCAGAACCUCAUGGCUCGAGCUGAAUACCUGAAGGAGCAGAUCAAGAUAAGGGAGUCUCACUGGGAAGCGGAGAGUCUGGACAAAGAGGGGCUGUCGGAGUCUGUUCGUAGUUCUUGCACACUGCAGUGACACCGGAAGGAGCAGCGGAUGGAGCACAACCCUAGAGAGAAGCUGCAUUACCAACUCAGGUUGACACCUGCACACCUGGGACCUUCCUGGACGAGCAGCUCCCACAUGCUGGUUCCCAGCAUUCCUCUGAGUGUUCUCCACCCUUGGGGCGUCUGGUGGCAGGUGUACUAAGCUCUGGGAGAAUUACUUGAAUGUGACCUUGUCAUUAGGUGACUGCUGGUCUAAGCCUGUCCGGCUUCAGGACACCAUCACCCCGUUGUGUUUUGUUCUGCAAAGAGGACGUCAUGCCUCUUCAGGACACUUGCUACCAGACAGCUGCUGUACCUGGGCCACCCCUCCCUGGGAGCCUUUAUUCCAACCCUACUUUUUUUCUUGCACUGGAAUGGGACACUCGGAUACCCUCAGGGACUACCUACCUGACAGUAUGCUCUCGGCUCUCAGACCUCUCCAGUCUUCCUGCGAGCUCAGAGCUGCCAUCCUUUUCAGUUCUUUAAGACAAUCCUUCAUGCAUGAAAGUCAUGCCCUUUGUAAAGGUGGAAUACAUGUGAGAACCCCAGACCUUCCCUGCCUUGGCAUGGAGGAGGGGUCCUCAUACCCCCACUUACAGCUCUCUUUGAGGGGAUAUGCCACACUAGUCACAUGGUGGACCCUGAGCUAGAGCUGGGUCUUGGCUGGGUCUUCCCCUCUGUCCUAUUAAGCUAUGGAUACAUCCACAGCUUAUACCCUGUAUGAGCUGGAGAAGAACUUACGUAUCUGGAGUUACUGGAAGAUUGCUCUUUUUUUUUUUCUUCUUUAAACACCCCCUCCCCCAGGUCAUCAUCUUGUUUCAGAUUUUUAUUCAAAUUCUUAUUGAAGGCUGAUUUUUGAAUAAGGAGCAGAGGAGCUGUUCUGCCACAAAUGACCCCCAAAUGACAGGCACUGAGACUUUCUUUCUUCCUUCCUUCCUUCCUUCCUUCCUUCCUUCCUUCCUUCCUUCCUUCCUUCCUUCCUUUCUUUCUUUCUUUCUUUCUUUCUUUCUUUCUUUCUUUCUUUCUUUCUUUCUUUCUUUCUUCUUUCUUCCUCUGUGUGUGUGUGGGGUGUGUGUGUGUGUGUGUGUGUGUGUGUGUGUGUGUGUGUGAAGGGUUAUUUCUAAAGUUAGAGAAUACUGGUGAUUUUCAAUCAUUCUGCCCUUAACCGCCUCCUUAGGGCAAAAUGGAACACCCUCCUUGCUAGAGGCUGGAUGUAUGUAAAGACUAUAGUUCAUUGUUUCUCUAUUAAAUUAUUUUCCAUACUUA